UACCAGACUCCUACGGGAGGCAGCAGUGGGGAAUAUUGCACAAUGGGGGAAACCCUGAUGCAGCGACGCCGCGUGAGCGAUGAAGUAUUUCGGUAUGUAAAGCUCUAUCAGCAGGGAAGAAGAUGACGGUACCUGACUAAGAAGCCCCGGCUAACUACGUGCCAGCGGCCGCGGUAAUACGUAGGGGGCAAGCGUUAUCCGGAUUUACUGGGUGUAAAGGGAGCGUAGGCGGUGCAGCAAGUCAGAAGUGAAAGCCCGGGGCUCAACUCCGGGACUGCUUUUGAAACUGGCAAACUGGAGUGUGUGAGAGGAUAGUGGAAUUCCAGGUGUAGGAGUGAAAUCCGUAGAUAUCUGGAGGAACAUCAGUGGCGAAGGCGACUAUCUGGCACAUAACUGACGCUGAGGAGCGAAAGCGUGGGUAGCAAACAGGAUUAGAUACCCUUGUA
RNAcentral lists this ribosomal RNA (446 nucleotides) under uncultured bacterium. Its description in RNAcentral is "bacterial SSU rRNA". It matches the Rfam family "Bacterial small subunit ribosomal RNA", at positions 329 to 792 of the family's 1533-position model. The record is from RNAcentral.